This 253-nucleotide ribosomal RNA is filed under the name uncultured bacterium. RNAcentral's name for it is "partial 16S ribosomal RNA". It matches the Rfam family "Bacterial small subunit ribosomal RNA", at positions 524 to 776 of the family's 1533-position model. The record is from RNAcentral.
UACAGAGGUCUCAAGCGUUGUUCGGAUUCAUUGGGCGUAAAGGGCGCGUAGGCGGCGCGGCAAGUCGGGUGUGAAAUCUCGGAGCUUAACUCCGAGACUGCAUUCGAUACUGCCGUGCUUGAGGACUGGAGAGGAGACUGGAAUUUACGGUGUAGCGGUGAAAUGCGUAGAUAUCGUAAGGAAGACCAGUGGCGAAGGCGGGUCUCUGGACAGUUCCUGACGCUGAGGCACGAAGGUCAGGGGAGCAAACGGG